CGAGCGUCAUUGCACCCCUCAAGCGUAGCUGGUAUUGGGCCUUCGCCCCCGCGGCGGGCCCGAAAGUCAGUGGCGGUCCGGUGCGACUUCAAGCGUAGUAAGAUACCUCCCGCUUUGGAAGCUCGCGACGUGGCCGGCCAUAACGCCCAGCUUUUUCAAUGAUUGACCUCGGAUCAGGUAGGGAUACCCGCUGAACUUAA
This 200-nucleotide unclassified non-coding RNA is filed under the name soil metagenome. RNAcentral's name for it is "partial contains internal transcribed spacer 2 and large subunit ribosomal RNA". The record is from RNAcentral.